This 352-nucleotide ribosomal RNA is filed under the name uncultured bacterium. RNAcentral describes it as "bacterial SSU rRNA". It matches the Rfam family "Bacterial small subunit ribosomal RNA", at positions 8 to 350 of the family's 1533-position model. The record is from RNAcentral.
AGAGUUUGAUCCUGGCUCAGGAUGAACGCUAGCUACAGGCUUAACACAUGCAAGUCGAGGGGAAACGACAUCGAAAGCUUGCUUUUGAUGGGCGUCGACCGGCGCACGGGUGAGUAACGCGUAUCCAACCUGCCCAUCACUUGGGGAUAACCUUGCGAAAGUAAGACUAAUACCCAAUGACGUCUCUAGAAGACAUCUGAAAGAGAUUAAAGAUUUAUCGGUGAUGGAUGGGGAUGCGUCUGAUUAGCUUGUUGGCGGGGUAACGGCCACCAAGGCGACGAUCAGUAGGGGUUCUGGGAGGAAGGCCCCCCANAUUGGAACUGAGACACGGUCCAAACUCCUACGGGAGGCA